RNAcentral lists this ribosomal RNA (429 nucleotides) under bacterium. RNAcentral describes it as "partial 16S ribosomal RNA". It matches the Rfam family "Bacterial small subunit ribosomal RNA", at positions 355 to 776 of the family's 1533-position model. The record is from RNAcentral.
UAGGGAAUCUUCCUCAAUGGACGCAAGUCUGAUGGAGCAACGCCGCGUGAGUGAAGAAGGUUUUCGGAUCGUAAAGCUCUGUUGUUGGUGAAGAAGGAUAGAGGCAGUAACUGGCCUUUAUUUGACGGUAAUCAACCAGAAAGUCACGGCUAACUACGUGCCAGCAGCCGCGGUAAUACGUAGGUGGCAAGCGCUGUCCGGAUUUAUUGGGCGUAAAGCGAGCGCAGGCGGAAUGCUAAGUCUGAUGUGAAAGCCCACGGCUCAACCGUGGAACUGCAUCUGAAACUGUCAUUCUUGAGUGCAGAAGAGGAGAGUGGAAUUCCAUGUGUAGCGGUGGAAUGCGUAGAUAUAUGGCAGAACACCAGUGGCGAAGGCGGCUCUCUGGUCUGCAACUGACGCUGAGGCACGAAAGCAUGGGUAGCGAACAGG